GCGAACCGGGAGAACUGAAACAUCUAAGUACCCCGAGGAAAAGAAAUCAACCGAGAUUUUGUGAGUAGCGGCGAGCGAAAGCGAAGGAGCCUGUUAGUGAUAGCGGAAGUAUUAGAGGAAUUGGCUGGGAAGCCAAAUCGUAGAGGGUGAUAAUCCCGUACUCGAAAAUACUUUUGUGGUACUGAGCUAACGAUAAGUAGGGCGGGACACGUGAUAUCCUGUUUGAAGAUGGGGGGACCAUCCUCCAAGGCUAAAUACUCCUGAUUGACCGAUAGUGAACCAGUACUGUGAAGGAAAGGCGAAAAGAACCCCGGUGAGGGGAGUGAAAUAGAACCUGAAACCUUGUACGUACAAGCAGUGGGAGCCCGCAAGGGUGACUGCGUACCUUUUGUAUAAUGGGUCAGCGACUUAUAUUUUGUAGCGAGGUUAACCGAAUAGGGGAGCCGAAGGGAAACCGAGUCUUAACUGGGCGAAUAGUUGCAAGGUAUAGACCCGAAACCCGGUGAUCUAGCCAUGGGCAGGUUGAAGGUUGGGUAACACUAACUGGAGGACCGAACCGACUAAUGUUGAAAAAUUAGCGGAUGACUUGUGGCUGGGGGUGAAAGGCCAAUCAAACCGGGAGAUAGCUGGUUCUCCCCGAAAUCUAUUUAGGUAGAGCCUUGAGCGGACACCUUUGGGGGUAGAGCACUGUUUCGGCUAGGGGUCCAUCCCGGAUUACCAACCCGAUGCAAACUACGAAUACCGAAGAGUGAUACUCAGGAGACACACGGCGGGUGCUAACGUCCGUCGUGGAGAGGGAAACAACCCAGACCGCCAGCUAAGGUCCCAAAGUCUAUAUUAAGUGGGAAACGAAGUGGGAAGGCUUAGACAGCUAGGAUGUUGGCUUAGAAGCAGCCAUCAUUUAAAGAAAGCGUAAUAGCUCACUAGUCGAGUCGGCCUGCGCGGAAGAUGUAACGGGGCUCAAAUAUAGCACCGAAGCUGCGGCAUCAGACGUAAGUCUGUUGGGUAGGGGAGCGUUGUGUAAGCGGAUGAAGGUGGUUCGAGAGGGCUGCUGGACGUAUCACAAGUGCGAAUGCUGACAUAAGUAACGAUAAAACGGGUGAAAAACCCGUUCGCCGGAAGACCAAGGGUUCCUGUCCAACGUUAAUCGGGGCAGGGUGAGUCGGCCCCUAAGGCGAGGCUGAAAAGCGUAGUCGAUGGGAAACGGGUUAAUAUUCCCGUACUUGGAUAAACUGCGAUGUGGGGACGGAGCAGGUUAGGUUAGCGUGCUGUUGGAUAUGCACGUUUAAGUUCGUAGGUGGGGAGUUUAGGCAAAUCCGGACUUCCUUAACACUGAGAGAUGAUGACGAGGCUCUACGGAGCUGAAGUAACUGAUACCACACUUCCAGGAAAAGCCACUAAGCUUCAGGUUUAUCUAAACCGUACUGAAAACCGACACAGGUGGUCAGGUAGAGAAUACUCAGGCGCUUGAGAGAACUCGGGUGAAGGAACUAGGCAAAAUAGCACCGUAACUUCGGGAGAAGGUGCGCCGGCGUAGAUUGUAGUCCCUUGCGGGCGAAGGUUGAACCGGUCGAAGAUACCAGCUGGCUGCAACUGUUUAUUAAAAACACAGCACUCUGCAAACACGAAAGUGGACGUAUAGGGUGUGACGCCUGCCCGGUGCUGGAAGGUUAAUUGAAGAUGUGAGAGCAUCGGAUCGAAGCCCCAGUAAACGGCGGCCGUAACUAUAACGGUCCUAAGGUAGCGAAAUUCCUUGUCGGGUAAGUUCCGACCUGCACGAAUGGCAUAAUGAUGGCCAGGCUGUCUCCACCCGAGACUCAGUGAAAUUGAAAUCGCCGUGAAGAUGCGGUGUACCCGCGGCUAGACGGAAAGACCCCGUGAACCUUUACUAUAGCUUGACACUGAACAUUGAAUUUUGAUGUGUAGGAUAGGUGGGAGACUUUGAAGUAGUCACGCCAGUGAUUAUGGAGUCGACCUUGAAAUACCACCCUUUAACGUUUGAUGUUCUAACGAAGAUUGCGAAACGUGGUCUCGGACAGUGUCUGGUGGGUAGUUUGACUGGGGCGGUCUCCUCCCAAAGAGUAACGGAGGAGCACGAAGGUUUGCUAAUCACGGUCGGACAUCGUGAGGUUAGUGCAAUGGUAUAAGCAAGCUUAACUGCGAGACAGACAAGUCGAGCAGGUACGAAAGUAGGUCAUAGUGAUCCGGUGGUUCU
Molecule: ribosomal RNA, 2215 nt
Filed under: human oral metagenome
Description: bacterial LSU rRNA
Rfam family: Bacterial large subunit ribosomal RNA
Source: RNAcentral